RNAcentral lists this non-coding RNA (31 nucleotides) under Mus musculus (house mouse). The record is from RNAcentral. Lineage: Eukaryota; Metazoa; Chordata; Mammalia; Rodentia; Muridae.
UACAAGGCAUUGGAUUAUCAUGGCUUUGGUC